GCCGGGUGCGGUGGCUCACGCCUGUAAUCCCAGCACUUUGGGAGGCUGAGGUGGGCGGAUCACCUGAGGUCGGGAGUUCAAGACCAGCCUGACCAACAUGGAGAAACCCCAUCUCUA
This 117-nucleotide non-coding RNA is filed under the name Homo sapiens (human). Lineage: Eukaryota; Metazoa; Chordata; Mammalia; Primates; Hominidae. The record is from Rfam by way of RNAcentral.